UCCAGUCCCGGUUCCGGCUCCAGUCCCGUUUCCGGCUCCAGUCCCGUUUUACUCACCUGCUGUUAUUUUGUCUGUGGCAAAUUUUCUUCCUGAAACAGAAGAGCAGGAUGAAGAUGAUGAUGAAGAGGAGGAUGGCAGCGAUGAAAGGGGCCAGCUGGUUAUGUUGUGGUGAAUCAGCUGUUGGGAGGGAUGAACAUGAGAGUGAUUGACAGCGCUAAGACCCUCCUCCUGGCUCUGAUUGGUUGUGUCUGACUGACUGGUGUAUUUCUACUGGGAGCACUGGGAGGCAGAUGAGCUGGAUUCUUUUCAGAUUAUCUUAUAUCUGGGUGUCCAAAGCGCGGCCCGGGGCCAUUUGCGGCCCUCUGAAGGAUUUUGUUUGGUCCCCUCAAUGCAAGCAGACGGUUGAUGGAGAUGGAAACUUUGUCAUCUUCUAGAGGAACUUUUUUUUUUUUUUUACAGAUAAAUAACAUCUUAUUUUAAAAAUACGAGUUAAAAGAAACAUAUUUCCAUUCAUUAACGCCACAAGCAUCAACCUACAUUUACUCAAACGAAAACAUUCAUCCCAAACAAGAAAAUAAUCAACCUCUAAAAGUUACUUGUUCUAAACCUUUUUAAUGUUUUCUGACUCCAAUAAUUAAAAUUUUAAUUUAGAUUGUUAUUGAGUGAAUAAACUUUCAAAAUAAAUACUUUUGUGGCCCAUAUUUUUAAUAAAAGUUUCAAACUGCAGCUUUAAUAUCUCUUAUGUUGGAUAAAAUCAAUCUGAGUUUAUUACAAAGGAUCUAAUAUUGUCAACGGUUCUGUGUUCAAUUUUCUCCUGCGUUUAUAUAUUCAAAUACAUUAGUUUUAAUUUUUAUCUAUCAAGGAAAGAAAACGUUAUAAGAAAAAGGAAAACAAGUUUCUUACUGUCAGAGUGGAGCGACGGGCAAUCUGAAAGAAACAGACGUUUAAAAACUGACAUCAGGUAAAUCAAUCUGUUCAUUAGUUUUCAACAAAAACUUUAAUUGUUUAAUUAUUGCGUUAUGUUAAAUGCAAAAUGUAUAUGUUCUCUGUACAGCUUUGCAUAAUUACUGCUUAUCACUACUAACAAUUAUUAGUGAUAAUUAUCAUCUCUAGACAUUUUUCAACAUUUUAGAAAAUCAAAUAUUUAAAAUUCAUAAUCAGUGGCUUCUUUCAAAUCUAACAAAGAUUUUGUUGAACAAAUUUGGAUUUGCAAAUCUGAAUUUAUAUUCUUUGGAUAAAAAAAUGAUGAAAAGAUUUUCCAAACAAAAAUAUGUUUCACUGGAUCUGAGAUCGAUACAAGUUCAGGUUCUAGUUUAUGUUCAGCAAUGUUUCUGACCAGAAACUCUGGUCAGAAACUCUGGUCAGUUUCUAACCAGCAGCUCAACAUCAGUGAGCCAAAAUCCAGAACUGCUGGGAUCAAAUUAUUUGGUAGAUUAUUUCCCCUGGCAAACAACUGGAAUGCAAAUUAUUCUGAAUAUUGACAUCGUUUCCAUCAAAUACGAAACUCAGUUGAAAUCACACGAUGUGUGAAUAAGUUUGUUCUCGUGAUAAGCCGUUAAAUUGCCGCCAUAUUUCUCCAACUCUUUCUGUCUUCUUCGUCUUUUCCGCCAGCAGUAACAUCCGGUUGUUGAUCACAUGUCGAUUCGGCCGAAGAACCGAAUCAACGUAGCACAAAGCUUGAUGGAGAAAAGUUUCUAAUGAAGUAAAUUUAUUUCUUUAAUUCCAGUUUGUGGAAUUUUGUGAUCAAUUGACACGAAGCUCCUGGAGGCCGUGAGCUGAACCAACUAAAAACAGCAAGUCAAUGUUUUAACAAGUUGUUCAACCUGCACAGGACUUCAGACAGAACCAGGUGUGAUUAUAUGAGGAAACAGCAGGUGGCGCCGUGGAGCCACUAAAGGUCAUUAAAACAACAGAUUCUGUUUGGAUCGUCAUCAUAAGUCAAUGAGUCGCACUGAACCGUUUCACAGAUCAAUUAAUUAGUAUUUAUUUAUAUUAAAGGUUAUUAAAAUACUUAACUGUGAAAAUACCUAAAAACAAAAACAUAAAUUAAAUAAA
Long non-coding RNA from Xiphophorus hellerii (green swordtail), 2055 nucleotides. RefSeq lists it as uncharacterized. The record is from RefSeq and is a predicted model, not a curated record. The transcript is spliced from 2 exons. Lineage: Eukaryota; Metazoa; Chordata; Actinopteri; Cyprinodontiformes; Poeciliidae.